This is a non-coding RNA of Triticum urartu, 115 nucleotides long. NCBI's taxonomy places the organism in Eukaryota, Viridiplantae, Streptophyta, Magnoliopsida, Poales, Poaceae. The record is from Rfam.
CAAAUACUCCCUCCGUUCCAAAUUACUCGUCGCAGAAAUGGAUGUAUCUAGAACUAAAAUACAUCUAGAUACAUCCAUACCUGCGACAAGUAAUUCGGAACGGAGGGAGUACAUU